UGUAUUAGUUUUAUUAGUUUGAAAUUAAUCUGUGUAUGUUUAUCUGUAUGUUUUUUAAUUGGUAUGAUAAAUACGGGCGGACUGAAAUGAUGCCAUGUUGAUUGUCUGCCAUUUCCAACUUUGGAAUGUCUGAGAUUCAAUUCAAUUCAGUUAUGAAUUUUAUUUCUAUAUGAUUCAUUCUGUGUUUUGAAAUGUUUUAGUGAAAUUGUAUUGAUACUGCUAUGAUGAUGUUGCACCAAUUAUGUCUGGACAUAUGAAGUUUUAUUGUGAUAUAAUUUGCUACUUUCUGAGCAGUAUUAUUACAUUUAAUCAUUUGUGUUUUUUAUUUUUUAUUUUAAUUGGCCAAAU
Molecule: long non-coding RNA, 348 nt
Filed under: Medicago truncatula (barrel medic)
Lineage: Eukaryota; Viridiplantae; Streptophyta; Magnoliopsida; Fabales; Fabaceae
Description: lncRNA gene904
Source: RNAcentral